RNAcentral lists this ribosomal RNA (460 nucleotides) under uncultured bacterium. Its description in RNAcentral is "partial 16S ribosomal RNA". It matches the Rfam family "Bacterial small subunit ribosomal RNA", at positions 338 to 795 of the family's 1533-position model. The record is from RNAcentral.
CCUACGGGCGGCAGCAGUGAGGAAUAUUGGUCAAUGGACGAGAGUCUGAACCAGUCAAGUAGCGUGAAGGAUGACUGCCCUAUGGGUUGUAAACUUCUUUUAUAUGGGAAUAAAAUGUUCCACGUGUGGGAUUUUGUAUGUACCAUAUGAAUAAGGAUCGGCUAACUCCGUGCCAGCAGCCGCGGUAAUACGGAGGAUCCGAGCGUUAUCCGGAUUUAUUGGGUUUAAAGGGAGCGUAGGUGGAUUGUUAAGUCAGUUGUGAAAGUUUGCGGCUCAACCGUAAAAUUGCAGUUGAAACUGGCAGUCUUGAGUACAGUAGAGGUGGGCGGAAUUCGUGGUGUAGCGGUGAAAUGCUUAGAUAUCACGAAGAACUCCGAUUGCGAAGGCAGUUCACUGGACUGCAACUGACACUGAGGCUCGAAAGUGUGGGUAUCAAACAGGAUUAGAUACCCUUGUAGUC